AGUACCAAACUAGAUUUUUGACCGAUGAGGUCACCAUUUGACUGGUGGGUUGUUUUUAGGCAAAUAAUUUCAGCCUCCCCAAUCGCCUCCAUCUAUAUUCUUGUUCUCAACUCUGAACUUGCCCUCUCUCUCUCUCUCUCUCUCUCUCUCUCUCUAUCUCCAACUUCAAACUACAAAAUCUACAAGAAUCAGAAGUUCAAAACCCAUUUAUUUCAGUUUAUCUAUCUGAAUCAAAAGUUCAAACCCUAUUACCAAUAUCAAAACCCAUAUCGGCAUUGUUAUGAAUUUGUCAAAGUUGUCUUUCAAGUUGUCCUGUUUUUUAGGCAUUUUGUUAGUUUAUUUUAUUGUUGUAGAUCAUGUGUUAGUGGUCUAGAGUUUGUUGCUAUUUUUCAGUCUAGUUCAGUUGAUGUAUUGCCUAUUUAAAGGCCAUUAGUUAAUUGAAUAAUAUGUGCUCAAAAUAUAUCUUUUCUCUAAUUUGAUUACUUUGAUUCUAAAUUGUUUUUUGGUCUUUGUACUUAUCUGAUUAGCCUUCGAUUUGUAACAGUGGUAUCAGAGCCACCGAGAAUGAAAAAGUGAGUUUGAGAGUGCAGCAGCAACAAAUUCAUUUAUUGCAGUAGCAGUUCUUUCAUGGCUUCUGAAAGCUUUGUGAAACCAAGUAUUCCACGCUUUGAUGGUCACUAUGACCAUUGGAGCAUGCUAAUGGAGAAUUUCAUGCGCUCUAAAGAGUAUUGGCAGGUGAUUAUUUCUGGAGUAGCAGAAUCAGCAGCCGGUACAGUGUUGACGGAUGCGCAGAAGACAGAGGUUGAAGCACUGAAGCUGAAGGAUUUGAAGGCAAAGAACUAUUUUUUUUUAGGUAAUUGAUCGUUCUAUCUUGGAGACAAUUCUUUGCAAAGACACUUCUAAGCAGAUUUGGGACUCCAUGAAAAAGAAGUACCACGGGACAACAAAGGCAAAGCGAGCACAACUCCAAGCUCUUCGUGCUGAUUUUGAGACUUUACACAUGAAGACUGGAGAGUCGGUGGCAGAUUACUUCUCGAAGACUUUGGCAAUCGCAAAUAAGAUGCGGAUUCAUGGCGAAAAGUUAGAAGACAUCACUAUCAGUGAGAAGAUUCUUCAUUCAAUGACAGCUAAAUUCAACUAUGUUGUUUGUUCGAUUAAAGAAUCUAAUGAUACAACAGGACUUUCCAUUGAUGAAUUGCAGAGUUCUUUGUUAGUUCAUGAGCAGAAAAUUAAUCGGCAAGAUAAGGAGGAACAAGCUUUACAAGCCUCAUCUAAUAAUUCUUUCUUGACAUCAAAAGGAGGUGGUUGAGGAAGAGGAAGGGGCAGAAACAACAAUGAUGGUAGAUACUCACAUCAGAGAUUUGAAGAUAAUCAGUUUUCUAACUCUCAAGGAAGAGGAAGAGGUUAUGACAACAAUGAUGGUAGAUACUCACAUCAAAGAUUUGAAGAUAAUCAGUUUUCUAACUCUCAAGGAAAAAGAAAAGGUCAUGACACUAAUCAUUCAACUUCUUUCAAGCCAAAAUUGUUAGAUAAAUCAAAAGUCGAAUGCUUCAGGUGUCAUAGGUAUGACCAUUACAAGUCUGAAUGUCGAACUAAUUUAAAUAGAAAUGGUGGUGUAAAAUCUAAUUUUGCAGAAAGGAAGAAAAAGUGUCUUUAUUGAUGGCUUGUCAUGUGAAGGAGGAAAACCAGAAGAAUUUGUGGUACUUAGACACAGGUUGCAGCAACCAUAUGUGCGGAGACAAGUCUGUCUUCUCUGAUUUGGAUGAAUUUUUUCGUGAUUCUGUGAAGUUUGGUGAUAAUUCUAGAGUAUCUGUCAUGGGCAAAGGAAAUGUAAAAAUCCACACCAAAGAAAACUCCAAUCAGAUUAUUUCUAACAUUUUCUUUAUUCCAGAUUUGAAACACAACUUGCUAAGUAUUGGUCAGAUCCAAGAGAAGGGAUAUGAGAUUUCUAUCAAAGAUGGAGUCUGUCGCAUUCAAGAUGAAAAGUUGGGCUUAAUUGCUUAAGUCAACAUGACGACAAACCGGAUGUUUCCGUUGUAUCUUGAUAACACCACCCAGUCAUGUUUUUCUAUGAGAUUGAAGAACGAGGCAUGGCUAGGGAAUUUUCACUAUGGACAUCUGAAUUUUGGUGGUUUAAAGACACUACAUCAGAAGAACAUGGUGAUGGGCCUUCCGCAACUUCAGCACCUUUCUCAAAUUUGUGAAGAAUGUGUUGUUGGUAAACAACAUUGUGAUCAUUUUCCGAAAGGAAAAUCAUGGAGAGCGAAAAAGGUGUUGGAGCUGGUACAUUCUGAUAUAUGCGGACCCAUUAAUCCGACAUCGAAUGGUGGUAAAUGUUGUUUUAUAACAUUCAUUGAUGAUUAUAGUCGAAAAACAUGGGCUUAUUUUUUAUAGGAGAAGUUUGAAACAUUUUCAGCUUUCAAAAAUUUCAAGGCACUGGUCGAAAAAGAAGCGGGCUUGUCUAUAAAGAUUCUUUAUAGCGAUCGUGGUGGAGAAUACAACUCACAAGAAUUUGUAAAUUUUUGUGAGGCUCAUGGAAUUCAAAAGCAACUGGCAGCGGCUUAUACACCACAGCAAAAUGGUGUUUCAGAGAGGAAGAAUCGUACAAUCUUGAACAUGGUGUGGACUAUUUUGGCAAGAAGCAGGAUCCUAAGAUGUUUCUGGCCCGAAGCUGUCAAUUGGAGCAUUCAUGUAUUGAAUAGGAGCCCCACGCUUGCUGUUCAAAAUGUGACGCCUAAAAAAGCUUGGAAUGGAUGAAGACCAAGUGUUGAACAUUUCAGAAUUUUUGGGUGUAUUGCAUAUGCUCAUGUUCCAGAUGAAAAGAGAAAAAAGUUAGAUGACAAAGGCGAAAAAUGCAUUUUUCUUGGUAUUAGUGAUCAUUCAAAAGCUUACAAAUUGUAUAAUCCUAUCACCAAGAAAAUUGUCAUUAGCAGCGAUGUCGUAUUUGAUGAAGAUAAAAUUUGGUCUUGGAGCAGAAAUGGCGUUGGACAGUCAAUACAAACAGACUUUGAUGGUGAAAAUGAAGAGGAAACACAACAGCCUCAUCAACAACAAGCUCCAGUAAUUACUCUUAAAGAUACUCAAAACGAAGUUUCUACAGUAUCUGAAACUACAUCAGCAACAGCAGAACAUGAUGAACAGGUUGAUGCUAUAGUAGGUUCACAUUAUCAACGUGUUAGACGAAGACUGUGAUCCAGCAACUUUCGAAGAGGCUAUCAAAGAAUCAAAGCGGCAAAAAGCUAUGGACACUGAAAUUAUGGCCAUCGAAAGAAACAACACUUGGGAGUUGACGAAGCUUCCAAAAGGGUUAAAGACCAUUGGUGUGAAGUGGGUGUACAAGACAAAACUGAAGGAGAAUGGUGAAGUUGACAAAUACAAGGCAUGCUUGGUAGCCAAGGGCUACAAGCAAGAGUUCGGCAUCGACUAUAAAGAGGUUUCUGCACCAGUUGCAUGACAUGACACAAUCAGAUUGGUGAUUGCAUUGGCAGCUCAAAACUCAUGGCCUAUCUUCCAGUUGGAUGUGAAAUCAGCAUUUCUACAUGGAGACUUACAAGAAGAGAUAUUUGUUGAUCAACCUCCUAGUUAUGUGAAGCUAGGUAAUGAGCAUAAGGUAUAUAAGUUGAAAAAGGCUCUAUAUGGGCUGAAACAAGCUCCGAGAGCUUGGUAUAGCCGUAUAGAUGCUUAUUUUCUGAAGGAAGGUUUUAGAAGAUGUCCGUAUAAGCAUACACUUUUAUUAAAAUUGAAGAUAGAGGAAAGAUGCUUUUUAUGUGCUUAUAUGUAGAUAAUUUAAUUUACACUGGCAAUGAUAGGGCUAUGUUUGAAAAAUUUAAGAAAUCCAUGAUGGUUGAAUUUGAUAUGUCUAAUUUUGGAAUGUUGCAUUAUUUUCUUAGCAUUGAAGUGGUUCAAUCUGCUGCUGAAAUUUUUAUUUCUCAAAAGAAAUAUGUGGAAGAAAUUUUAGAUAGGUUUCAGAUGAAGAAUUGCAAUUCAGUGAGUACACCAACUGAGUUUGGUUUGAAGCUAAAUAAAGAUCAUGAAGGUAAGAAGGUCGAUAGCACUCUUUGCAAGCAUAUUGUGGGAAGUUUAAUGUAUUUAACUUCAACAAGGCUAGAUAUAAUGUAUUCCGUGACUCUCAUCAACAGGUACAUGGAGAAUCCCACAGAGAUACAUCUUCUCGCUGCCAAGAGGAUACUUCGGUACUUGCAAGGUACUAUGGAAUUUGGGUUGUUUUACAAGAAGGGAGAAAAGUCAGACUUGAUUGGCUUUACUGACAGCGAUUAUGCAGGGGAUCAAGAUGAUAAAAGAAGCACUUCAGGCUAUGUUUUUAUCCUUGGUUCAGGGGCUAUUUCAUGGUCAUCAAAGAAGCAGCCAAUCGUCACUUUAUCAACCACUGAAGCUGAAUUUGUUGCUACAACCUCAUGUGCAUGCCAAGCUAUAUGGUUGAAGAAAAUUCUUGAAGAGCUUAAUUUCAAGAGAUAAGGGCCUACUGCAAUUUUUUGUGACAACAACUCAGCAAUCAAACUCUCAAAAAAUCCUGUUUUGCAUGGAAGAAGUAAGCACAUAGAUGUGAAGUUUCAUUUUUUAAGAGAUCUCACAAAGGAUGGAACAAUUGAGCUCAUUUACUGCAGAAGUGAAGAUCAGGUUGUAGACAUAUUCACAAAGCCCCUCAAAUUGCCAUCAUUUCUGAAGUUAAGAGAUUUAAUGGGUGUUUGUAUGCUAGAUAUUUGAGGGAGCUAAUUUUUUUUUUUUACCUGUGUAUUAAAUGGAAUGAUUGAAAACAUCAGUUUAAGGGAGGGUUUGUUAUGAAUUUGUCAAAGUUGUCUUUCAAGUUGUCCUGUUUUUUAGGCAUUUUGUUAGUUUAUUUUAUUAUUGCAGAUCAUGUGUUAGUGGUCUAGAGUUUGUUGCGAUUUUUCAGUCUAGUUCAGUUGAUGUAUUGCCUAUUUAAAGGCCAUUAGUUAAUUUAAUAAUAUGUGCUCAAAAUAUAUCUUUUCUC
Cornus florida is the source of this 4990-nucleotide long non-coding RNA. RefSeq lists it as uncharacterized. NCBI's taxonomy places the organism in Eukaryota, Viridiplantae, Streptophyta, Magnoliopsida, Cornales, Cornaceae. The record is from RefSeq and is a predicted model, not a curated record. The transcript is spliced from 2 exons.